GCUUAACACAUGCAAGUCGAGGGGCAUCAUGGCAGUUGCUUGCAACUACCGAUGGCGACCGGCGCACGGGUGAGUAACGCGUAUCCAACCUUCCCCCCAGUAGGGCAUAGCCCGGCGAAAGUCGGAUUAAUACCCUAUGUUCUUCGUUGCGGGCAUCUAAGAUGAAGCAAAGACUUGUCGCUGAGGGAUGGGGAUGCGUCUGAUUAGGUAGUCGGCGGGGUAACGGCCCACCGAGCCUUCGAUCAGUAGGGGUUCUGAGAGGAAGGUCCCCCACAUUGGUACUGAGACACGGACCAAACUCCUACGGGAGGCAGCAGUGAGGAAUAUUGGUCAAUGGGCGAGAGCCUGAACCAGCCAAGUAGCGUGCAGGAUGACGGCCCUACGGGUUGUAAACUGCUUUUGCGGGGGAAUAAAGUCGGCCACGCGUGGCCGUUUGCAUGUACCCCGAGAAUAAGGACCGGCUAAUUCCGUGCCAGCAGCCGCGGUAAUACGGAAGGUCCGGGCGUUAUCCGGAUUUAUUGGGUUUAAAGGGAGCGCACGCUGAUGGUUUAGCGUGACGUGAAAUGUGG
This 569-nucleotide ribosomal RNA is filed under the name uncultured rumen bacterium. RNAcentral describes it as "bacterial SSU rRNA". It matches the Rfam family "Bacterial small subunit ribosomal RNA", at positions 46 to 604 of the family's 1533-position model. The record is from RNAcentral.